CCUACGGGAGGCAGCAGUGAGGAAUAUUGGUCAAUGGCCGGAAGGCUGAACCAGCCAUGCCGCGUGAAGGUCAGUGCCCUAUGGGCGUUAAACUUCUUUUGUGCGGGAGCAAUAAUGGUCACGUGUGGCCAGACGAGAGUACCGUACGAAUAAGCAUCGGCUAACUCCGUGCCAGCAGCCGCGGUAAUACGGGGGAUGCAAGCGUUAUCCGGAUUUAUUGGGUUUAAAGGGUGCGUAGGCUGGGAGGUAAGUCAGCGGUGAAAUGCCCCCGCUCAACGGGGUGAAGUGCCAUUGAUACUGGCUGGCUGGAAUGCGGAUGCGGUGGGAGGAAGGUGUGGUGUAGCGGUGAAAUGCAUAGAUAUCACACAGAACACCGAUUGCGAAGGCAUCUCACGAAUCCGCGAUUGACGCUGAUGCACGAAAGCGUGGGUAUCAAACAGGAUUAGAUACCCUAGUAGUC
Molecule: ribosomal RNA, 460 nt
Filed under: uncultured bacterium
Lineage: Bacteria
Description: partial 16S ribosomal RNA
Rfam family: Bacterial small subunit ribosomal RNA
Source: RNAcentral